This 508-nucleotide unclassified non-coding RNA is filed under the name Hevea brasiliensis (rubber tree). The record is from RNAcentral. Lineage: Eukaryota; Viridiplantae; Streptophyta; Magnoliopsida; Malpighiales; Euphorbiaceae.
CUGACAUGGAUCAAGCAGAAAUUGCCAAGGCCCACACGGUAAGAAAACUGGCCAAGUGCUUCGAUGAAUGGCAUAGAUUCAAUGUCCCCUAUAGUUCCACCUAAUUCAAUGACACAAACAUCAGCUGGACCUUCUUUUCCAUCGACCGGUACCAUUGCUACACGCUCUAUCCAUUCUUGGAUGGCAUUAGUAAUGUGCGGAACUACCUGCACAGUCUUUCCAAGAUAAUCUCCUUUUCUCUCUUUAUCAAUUACAGACUGAUAUAUUUUUCCAGUUGUGAUAUUGUUGUCACGGGUUAGCUUGAUAUCUAGAAACCGCUCAUAAUUGCCAAGGUCCAAAUCUACCUCACCACCAUCGUCUAAUACAAAGACCUCCCCAUGCUCAAAAGNNNNNNNNNUGCAUCGGUAUUUAGGUAAGGGUCAAUCUUGAUAGAAGUUACACGGAGGCCACAAGCUUUAAGGAGUAAACCAAUACUACUAGCAGUAACCCCUUUGCCAAGUCCACUAAC